GCGCGAAAAGUUGCGAACCGUGGUCUCGGUAUUGCGGACCUGUGCGUGUGGUGGUAGGCGCCGAACGAUUUUAGGGUCAAUCGCACGUUUUAGAGUAUUGCAGUACUCAGUGCUAUCGUGUUUUUAGUCUUGCGAGGAUUUGAGUGAAAGCGCUCAGCAACCGUUGUGUUCAACCCUUUUCUUUGAAGGCCGGAGUAACCCAAAAAUCCAUCCACCAUGGACGCGAUUAAGAAGAAGAUGCAGGCGAUGAAGCUGGAGAAGGAUAAUGCCGCCGACAAAGCCGAUACCUGCGAAAACCAGGCCAAGGAGGCCAACCUCCGUGCCGACAAGAUCAUGGAGGAGGUCGCUGAGCUGACCAAGCGUCUGACUCAGGUCACUGAGGAUCACGAGAAGUUCAAGAACACCCUGGAGCAGGCCAACAAGGACCUCGAAGAGAAGGAGAGGACUCUGACCUCCACCGAGGCCAACGUUGCCGCCCUGACCCGCAAGGUCCAGCAGGUUGAGGAGGAUCUGGAGAAAUCCGAAGAACGCUCGGGCGCUGCUCUGUCCAAGCUGCUGGAGGCCACCCAGUCCGCUGAUGAGAACAACCGUAUGUGCAAGGUAUUGGAGAACCGUUCCCAGCAGGAUGAGGAGCGUAUGGAUCAACUGAGCAACCAGCUGAAGGAAGCCCGUAUGCUCGCUGAAGACGCUGACGGCAAGUCUGAUGAAGUGUCCCGCAAGCUGGCCUUCGUUGAAGACGAGCUGGAAGUCGCUGAAGAUCGUGUCAAGUCCGGUGAAGCCAAGAUCAUGGAGUUGGAAGAAGAGUUGAAGGUCGUCGGUAACUCGCUCAAGUCUCUGGAAGUCUCGGAAGACAAGGCUAACCAGAGAGUCGAGGAGUUCAAGCGCCAGCUGAAGUCCCUCACCAUCAAGCUGAAGGAGGCUGAGACUCGUGCCGAGAACGCCGAAAAGAACGUCAAGAAGCUCCAGAAGGAAGUCGACAGACUAGAAGACAAAUUGAUGAACGAGAAGGACAAGUACAAAGCCAUCUGCGACGACCUGGAUUCCACCUUCGCCGAACUUACCGGAUACUAAUCUCUCCAAUCUACUACUACUUCUACUAUUACAACUAGCAACUACUAGCGCUGCUAUUACUACUGCAACCAUCAGCGUCAGCUUGCCCAUAGCAAAACCAACAAACCACCACCGCCAACAGACAACUCAAAUCCAAGGAGAAGCGAUUCGGUUCGUUCCAUUUCUUUAGUCUCGCUCACAUUCUCUGUCUAUUGUCGUCUGUUACCGUCCGGGUGUGGGACGAUUGUGGAUGUCCAAUACCAACAUGCCCAGUGGGACCGAUUAUAACAGCAAAAAAAAGCUCCAGGGUGUAUCUGUUUCCCUCUCCCAGCGCGUUUUUGAACCCAAAAAAAAAUGUGAUUGACCGAGAAUCGGAUGUUGUUACGAUUUUUUGGCGAGAAAGUGAUUAAUGUUCUGUUUGAUAGACGAAUUGGGCGUCAACAAGGACAGAUACAAGUCUCUGGCCGACGAGAUGGAUUCCACCUUCGCCGAGUUGGCUGGUUACUAGGAGACAUUAGCAACUUUUCUACGUACUGCUUUUAACUUAUAUACAGAAACAACUGUUUGUAUCUUACAUACAUACAACCAUUUUUACUUACACCAAGAGAUAGAAAACGGUUUGAUUUAGAACUUUUCCUCGUGGUCCCACUGCAGAAGCAAUGCACUAAACGAUCGCACCAUCAUCACCACCGUCACUAGAAAGUAGCAGCGAACGAAGAAGAAAAACAGAGAGACAUGAAAUGAAACGCUCCGAAGCUCCUCCUCAACCAAAUAAAUAUUACACCUAAGACAUCGUAAUUUCUGAAAUAUUUUUGUUUUGAAGCAAGCAGCUUAAAAUUCAUGUCUUAUCGUAGGAAAAUAUUAGGGAAUAAUUUACUGAAUCAUUUGAUUAGUGAGUAAGAAAUCGUAGCUUUGUCCCACUUAGGAUUAAACAGAGCCGUAUUGUUGUUGUUGCAGCCAGAAAACAAGUUCAUGGUCAGAAGCCAAAGGAAGAUUACUGAACAAGCGAAGAUAAAAUUGAGAACCAUUCAAUGUAGAAAUUAUACCGUAGCGAAAAUAAGUUUUAGAACCCUAUUCAUUGGAAGAUUUGUAUAGGAAAAUCAUUUAGAAUCAUUGAUGACGGAGCCAGAAACGGGAAGACUCAAAUCGAUUCAGCAAAGUGUUGGUGUUGAGCCGAAAUCGCCGGAGUGUCACCCCGGAAGUCAUGUAUUAAUAAUAUCUUUUAAUAAAAAAAAUGUGAAAACUAAACUCCCAGACAUCUGCACUCGAUGCGAAAAUCUCUGCUCAGAUUCGGAUCGCAUGUCUUGGAGGCACGCGAUAACCGAGUUGUAUACUGGAAUCCUCUAUUUCUCUAUUUUUAUUAGAAGAAAUCGAAAAAAAAAACCUAUUUAUUGUAACGCUAAGUCUUGAUUUAUUUUUGUAUAAUAAACGUUUAAUUAUUAGCUAAGGUAA
Molecule: RNA transcript, 2502 nt
Organism: Armigeres subalbatus
Lineage: Eukaryota; Metazoa; Arthropoda; Insecta; Diptera; Culicidae
Gene: Tm2
Gene name: tropomyosin-1
Exons: 6
Source: RefSeq, a predicted model, not a curated record